Pangasianodon hypophthalmus (striped catfish) is the source of this 1863-nucleotide long non-coding RNA. RefSeq lists it as uncharacterized. Lineage: Eukaryota; Metazoa; Chordata; Actinopteri; Siluriformes; Pangasiidae. The transcript is spliced from 2 exons. The record is from RefSeq and is a predicted model, not a curated record.
CACAGACACUUUAUAUAAUGUUUUGGGUUUGUGGUUCUAACAUACAGUACUGUGCAAAAGUCUUGGCACCCUAUUUUUUUUUUUAGUACAAACUUUGUUAUAGAUGUUUAUUUUCUGACUUCUACAUUAUUGAUUCAGUACAAAACCAUUUUAGAUUCCAAACAUUAGUUUUCCAGCACAAAAUGAAAUGUUACAGAAAAAUGUUUGUAUGUCAGUAAAGAAAGCAGCAGAUUCCAUAAGAGACACUUUUCAGAUAAAAACAUAAUGAAGGCUGCUGGGUUUCGCUGCAGAAAUAAGAAGCGAGUCGACAGUCAAAGUCUCCAGAAGAACUGUGGCUGCUUCUGCAAGAUGCUCAGUAACACUUCCAGCUCAUUUCCUUAUAAAACUGCACACACUGCACCUCAGAUACUGCUUUAUUUAUUUAAAGUGAAGGAUCGUCACAUUAAAUACUGACUGUGUUUCAUUUAUUACUGUUUACUGCUCUUUAUAGUACUUUUUUUAAUGUAGAAACAUUUAAUUUCAUUAUUUUUGAAAGCAUCUUUGCUCUACAGCAUUUCUUUGCCUGUGCCUAAGACCUUUGCACAGUACUGUAUGAGUGAAUUUUCAGUGUUAUUAUUUCUAACAAGAAACUGGCGUGUGGGUGUGUGUGUGUACACAACUACCUCUAUGAUUGUAAAAGACCAGCAGGGAGAGGCUACAUUGUGCUUGUCUAAGGAAUGCUGCAUGGCAACUUCAGCAAAAGUGCUGUGAACAACACCAGGACGUCAUUAUAGCCUGUAUGAACCUCUCCAAAGCAUUCAACACUGUUAUCAGUGUUCUGUUAUCAGCUUCUGUUGGAAUGUUCUGGUUAAUUUUGAUAAAUCACGUGACCACAAGAGGUCAAGCAACUUUUCUGUCAGCUCAUGAGUGAAACAGUGGUGUGUGUUGGCACCUGUCCUCUUCAACAUCUUAUGCUUAUAUGUCAUCCAUCUUCUCCAGAAGGAGCUUCAUGAUGAAUGGAAACCUGUUUAACGUCAGGAGCUGUCCAGGGAGCAAAUCCUAGAGCUACAGUAUACUGAUGACUGUGCUCUUGUUGCUUUCUCUCCACAGGAUGCUGUAGUUGUCAGAACUUGCAACUAUCAUGGAUGCACUGAACAUGGCACGGGACUACGACUCCCAUCAGCCACUGCACCUCACCUGAUCACGGCACUCAUGUCACAUGACUGUUUCCACCUGAUUCAUAUUUAUGUUUAAUGAGCACUAGUAUUUAAGUCACUUUUGUACAGCACUUGGUGUCUAGCUUUUGUCUUCUGUCAUCUGUAUCUGUCUGUCUAAUUCAUGUCAUGUUUAUGUUGUUGCCUUGCUUCAUGAUCCUCGUUUUGUUUCUUAGUCUUUAUGUUUCAUGUUUUGUCACUUUCAGUAAACUAAAUCUGCACUUGUACCUGCCUCCUCUACCAAUCCGUGACAGAAAGAUAGACCUUACCAUGGAUGCAGCAGAUUUUUUCAGUGGCCAGCAGGAACUCCUGGCUUCAAACGUCGCUCUGCCUUCCUGCUCCCCUGAGGAUGUCACUCUGCCUCCUCGCUCCACUUUGGACAUCAGCAACAGGAUAGGCCUCUCUGUAUCCCUUACCUUUUGAGGAAAUUCCAAAUGAUGUCAAAAAGAACCUUGACUUCCUGAAGACAGAAUGCUCGGCUCUUUCCAGGCAGGUCCAUGGAGUGAGGGCGAAGGUGAGAGGUUGCAGGUUUCAUUGUGGAUUUAUUGAAGUGCUCACAUUACCUUCACUUGCAUGCGUAUGUGUUUAGUAAGUAAGUGUGUGUGGGUGUGUGUAUUGUACAUAUGAGAUAAAGUCAUUACCAUAAAACCUCCUCUUAAAAUGGACUAAA